CAACCAACAGAUUGAGGACACCCCAGCGAUGAUAGAGUCCAUCACCAUAAUGGCUUCAGUUACAGACACCCCACCUUGUGGCUGCACAGCGUCAGGGGAUUUGUUUCAUCGAUUUCUUUCAUGCUUGAAAGCUGAAGACCAAGUGACCAGCAUCUGCGUCAGUUGGACUGGGCGGUUGUGAUCUUACACAACCUGAGCAGAUACUUUUUGUAUUGAGGACAGCCCGGUGAUGAUACAAAGUACAUUACCACAAUGGAUUCAGUUACGGACACCCUACCUUGUGGCUGCACAGCGUGAGGGGAUUUUUGUUUUGUUUUCUUUCAGGCUUGAAAGCUGAAGGUAAUGCAGCCAACUCUUCAAAACUGUGCUGUAUGUAAAUGUAUGUUUGAGUUAGAAUAUUUAAACCCGAAAAGUGGAUUGUUAUUUACACAUUAAGCCAGAGAAAUGGCGAAAGAUAAUACUAACCACAGACCAGACAUGGAACAGCCAACAACCUCUACACAUAAUCAAUCGAUCACACCCCAAAAUACAAAUGAACCAAUCAUUACUUUGUUACACAGCGAUGCACACAAUAACCCCCAGAUACAAGGCUUGUUAACCAAGCUUAGUAGCCCCCAUUUUUCACAUGAUCUAGUUGACUCUCCUUCAAGCUCUCUGAUGCAAACUCAGUGCAGUGAUGGCGAUGUUAGAGUUAUACAACAUAAUGUGUUUGACAAUGUUGAAGUAUGACAGUUGAUACAUUUACAAAAUACUGGUGAAGUAGGUGAUUUUGGCACAUUCUACGCAAGUAUUAUGGCGGGCUUGGAUACUUUGAUUGUUAUAGCUUCAGACUUUGUACACAAGUCCGGUGAUCGUCUGCAGAUUGAGUUGAUUGGUGAAUCUCUGAUAGCCCCCGUACAUGUGACCAUAAGAGCGGAUGAAUA
Esox lucius (northern pike) is the source of this 923-nucleotide long non-coding RNA. The record is from Ensembl. Lineage: Eukaryota; Metazoa; Chordata; Actinopteri; Esociformes; Esocidae.